GAUGAACGCUGGCGGCGUGCCUAAUACAUGCAAGUCGAGCGAACAGACGAGGAGCUUGCUCCUUUGACGUUAGCGGCGGACGGGUGAGUAACACGUGGGUAACCUACCUAUAAGACUGGGAUAACUUCGGGAAACCGGAGCUAAUACCGGAUAAUAUUUCGAACCGCAUGGUUCGAUAGUGAAAGAUGGCUUUGCUAUCACUUAUAGAUGGACCUGCGCCGUAUUAGCUAGUUGGUAAGGUAACGGCUUACCAAGGCAACGAUACGUAGCCGACCUGAGAGGGUGAUCGGCCACACUGGAACUGAGACACGGUCCAGACUCCUACGGGAGGCAGCAGUAGGGAAUCUUCCGCAAUGGGCGAAAGCCUGACGGAGCAACGCCGCGUGAGUGAUGAAGGUCUUCGGAUCGUAAAACUCUGUUAUUAGGGAAGAACAAACGUGUAAGUAACUGUGCACGGCUUGACGGUACCUAAUCAGAAAGCCACGGCUAACUACGUG
Molecule: ribosomal RNA, 497 nt
Filed under: uncultured bacterium
Lineage: Bacteria
Description: partial 16S ribosomal RNA
Rfam family: Bacterial small subunit ribosomal RNA
Source: RNAcentral